Molecule: long non-coding RNA, 204 nt
Filed under: Elaeis guineensis (African oil palm)
Lineage: Eukaryota; Viridiplantae; Streptophyta; Magnoliopsida; Arecales; Arecaceae
Description: long non-coding RNA (EGUI_LNC038084)
Source: RNAcentral
UGGUGGUUGAUCUCACAACCUCUUAUAUGGUGACACUAAUACAAGGAUGUGGGUGCUCAUUAGAGAAUGAGUUUACUGAAUAGACCUGUAAAACAACGGUCAAUAAGGGAUCAGUUACUCCUAAUAAGGGGAGCGAACAUCCUAUAUGAUCUCGUAGGUUGAUGAUUCUGAAAGUCUUUGGCCAAAGCAGGAUGAUAAUUAGAA